Molecule: long non-coding RNA, 1318 nt
Filed under: Numida meleagris (helmeted guineafowl)
Lineage: Eukaryota; Metazoa; Chordata; Aves; Galliformes; Numididae
Description: lncRNA (ENSNMEG00000001952.1)
Source: RNAcentral
GGGAUAUGGGGGGGCUUUUGGGGCCAGACAUUUUGGGUUGAAUCUGCCCCAUUUUGGGGGCUGAUUUUGGGUUGAAAGCGGGGGUUUUUGGGUCAGACGCUUUGGGUUGAAUGUGCUCCGUUUCGGGGCUGAUUUUGGGUUGAAUGUGCGCCAUUUGGGGGCUGAUUUGGGGUCGAAAAGGGGGCUUUUUGGGUUGGGCAUUUUGGGUUGAAAACGGGGGUUUUUGGGUCAGACGCUUUGGGUUGAAUCUACUGCAUGUGGGGGCUGAUUUUGGGUUGAAUGUGCUCCAUUUGGGGGCUGAUUUGGGGUUGAAAACGGCGCUUUUUGGGUCAGACUCUUUGGGUGGAAUCUGCUCGUUUUGGGGCUGAUUUUGGGUCAAAACUGGGGCUUUUUGGAUGGGGCAUUUUGGGUUGAAAACGGGGGUUUUUGGGUCAGACGCUUUGGGUUGAAUCUGCUGCGUGUGGGGGCUGAUUUUGGGUUGAAUGUGCUCCAUUUGGGGGCUGAUUUGGGGUUAAAAGUGGGGCUUUUUGGGUCAGACACUUUGGGUCGAAAAGGGGGCUUUUUGGGUGGGGCAUUUUGGGUUGAAUUUGCUUUAUUUUGGGGCUGAUUUUGGGUUGAAAACGGGGCUUUUUGGGUCAGACAUUGUGGGUUAAACGUGCUGUGUUUUGGGGCUGAUUUUGGGUUGAACGUGCCCCAUUUGGGGGCUGAUUUGGGGUUGAAAACGGCGCUUUUCGGGUCAGACGCUUCGGGGCUGAUUUUGGGUCGAAAAGGGGGCUUUUGGGGUGGGGCAUUUUGGGUUGAAAACGGGGGUUUUUGGGUCAGACACUUUGGGUUGAAUUUGCUCCAUUUGGGUGCUGAUUUUGGGUUGAAACCAGGGCUUUUUGGGUCAGACUCUUUGGGUGGAAUCUGCUCGUUUUGGGGCUGAUUUGGGGUCGAAACUGGGGCUUUUUGGGUGGGGCAUUUUGGGUUGAAAGCGUGGGUUUUUGGGUCAGACAUGUUGGGUUGAGAACGGGGCUUUUUGGGUUGCACAUUUUGGGUUGAAAACGAGGCUUUUUGGGUCAGACAUUUGAGGUUGAAUCUGCCCCAUUUUGGGGCUGAUUUUGGGUUGAAAGCGGGACUUUUUGGGUCAGGCAUUUUGGGUUGAAAGCGGGGGUUUUUGAGUCAGACAUUUUGGCUUCGAUCUGCCCCGUUUUGGGGCUGAUUUUGGGGUUGAAAACGGCGCUUUUCGGGUCAGACGCUUCGGGGCUGAUUUUGGGUCGAAACUGGGGCUUUUUGGGUGGGGCAUUUUGGGUUGAAAACGGGGGUUUUUGGGUCAGAC